AGUGAGGAAUAUUGCACAAUGGGCGAAAGCCUGAUGCAGCAACGCCGCGUGGAGGAUGACGCAUUUCGGUGUGUAAACUCCUUUUAUGAGUCAAGAAAAUGACGGUAGCUCAUGAAUAAGCACCGGCUAACUCCGUGCCAGCAGCCGCGGUAAUACGGAGGGUGCAAGCGUUACUCGGAAUCACUGGGCGUAAAGGACGCGUAGGCGGGUUGGUAAGUCAGAUGUGAAAUCCUACAGCUUAACUGUAGAACUGCAUUUGAAACUACUAACCUAGAGUAUGGGAGGGGGAGAUGGAAUUAGUGGUGUAGGGGUAAAAUCCGUAGAUAUCACUAGGAAUACCGAAAGCGAAGGCGAUCUCCUGGAACAUUACUGACGCUAAGGCGUGAAAGCGUGGGGAGCAAACGGGAUUAGAUACCCCGGUAGUCCACGCCCUAAACGAUGAACACUAGUCGUCGGGAUGCUUGUCAUCUCGGUGAUGCACUUAACAGAUUAAGUGUUCCGCCUGGGGAGUACGGUCGCAAGAUUAAAACUCAAAGGAAUAGACGGGGACCCGCACAAGUGGUGGAGCAUGUGGUUUAAUUCGAAGAUACGCGAAGAACCUUACCUAGCCUUGACAUUGAUAGAACGGACCAGAGAUGGACCGGUGCCCUUCGGGGAACUUGAAAACAGGUGCUGCACGGCUGUCGUCAGCUCGUGUCGUGAGAUGUUGGGUUAAGUCCCGCAACGAGCGCAACCCUCGUCCUUAGUUGCCAGCAGGUUAUGCUGGGCACUCUAAGGAGACUGCCUUCGCAAGGAGGAGGAAGGUGAGGACGACGUCAAGUCAUCAUGGCCCUUAUGGCUAGGGCUACACACGUGCUACAAUGGGGCGUACAGAGAGUUGCGAUACCGCAAGGUGGAGCCAAUCUCAUAAAGCGUCUCUCAGUUCGGAUUGGAGUCUGCAACUCGACUCCAUGAAGCUGGAAUCACUAGUAAUCGUAGAUCAGCAAUGCUACGGUGAAUACGUUCCCGGGUCUUGUACUCACCGCCCGUCACACCAUGGGAGUUGAUUUCGCCCGAAAUUGGGAAGCUAACCUUCGGGAGGCUACCACUUACGGCGGAAUUAGCGACUGGGGUG
RNAcentral lists this ribosomal RNA (1114 nucleotides) under uncultured bacterium. Its description in RNAcentral is "bacterial SSU rRNA". It matches the Rfam family "Bacterial small subunit ribosomal RNA", at positions 353 to 1482 of the family's 1533-position model. The record is from RNAcentral.